UAAGACAGAGGUGGCAAGCGUUGUUCGGAUUUACUGGGCUUAAAGGGCGUGUAGGCGUCUUGAUAAGUCAGAUGUGGAAGCCUUAGGCUUAACCUAAGAAUUGCAUUUGAAACUAUCAGGAUUGAGUCAGGCAUGGGAGGGCGGAAUUCCUGGUGGAGCGGUGAAAUGCGUAGAUAUCAGGAGGAAGGCCGGUGGCGAAGGCGGCCCUCUAGGCCAUGACUGACGCUGAGGCGCGAAAGCGUGGGGAGCAAACAGGAUUAGAUACCCUGGUAGUCCACGCCUUAAACGGUGGGUAUUAGGUGUGGGUGGCGAUAGUCAUCUGUGCCGAAGGGAAACCAUUAAAUACCCCGCCUGGGGAGUACGGCCGCAAGGUUAAAACUUAAAUGAAUUGACGG
This 395-nucleotide ribosomal RNA is filed under the name uncultured bacterium. RNAcentral's name for it is "bacterial SSU rRNA". It matches the Rfam family "Bacterial small subunit ribosomal RNA", at positions 521 to 916 of the family's 1533-position model. The record is from RNAcentral.